This 74-nucleotide transfer RNA is filed under the name Graffilla buccinicola. RNAcentral's name for it is "tRNA-Trp". The record is from RNAcentral. Lineage: Eukaryota; Metazoa; Platyhelminthes; Rhabdocoela; Graffillidae.
GUGGUGGUAGGUUAAAUUUUAAAGACCAUGGGUCUUCAAAACUUAAAAUACCACAUUAAGAUUGGUUCACCACG